RNAcentral lists this ribosomal RNA (454 nucleotides) under uncultured bacterium. RNAcentral's name for it is "bacterial SSU rRNA". It matches the Rfam family "Bacterial small subunit ribosomal RNA", at positions 340 to 786 of the family's 1533-position model. The record is from RNAcentral.
UACGGAAGGCAGCAGGGGGGAAUAUUGCACAAUGGGCGCAAGCCUGAUGCAGCCAUGCCGCGUGUAUGAAGAAGGCCUUCGGGUUGUAAAGUACUUUCAGUCGUGAGGAAGGUGUUAAGGUUAAUAACCUUAGCAAUUGACGUUAGCGACAGAAGAAGCACCGGCUAACUCCGUGCCAGCAGCCGCGGUAAUACGGAGGGUGCGAGCGUUAAUCGGAAUUACUGGGCGUAAAGGGCACGCAGGCGGUUAAUUAAGUUGGAUGUGAAAUCCCCGGGCUUAACCUGGGAAUGGCAUUCAAGACUGGUUAGCUAGAGUCUUGUAGAGGGGGUAGAAUUCCAUGUGUAGCGGUGAAAUGCGUAGAGAUGUGGAGGAAUACCGGUGGCGAAGGCGGCCCCUGGACAAAGACUGACGCUCAUGUGCGAAAGCGUGGGGAGCAAACAGGGAUUUAGAUACC